AUUGAACGCUAGCGGGAUGCUUUACACAUGCAAGUCGAUCGAGUGCCGGACGGGUGAGCAAUAUAUCGGAACGUGCCCAGUAGCGGGGGAUAACUACUCGAAAGAGUGGCUAAUACCGCAUACUCUUGGAGCGGCCGAUAUGGGAUUAGCUAGUUGGUGGGGUAAAGGCUCACCAAGGCAACGAGCCGUAGCUGGUUUGCGAGGUGGACCAGCCACACUGGGACUGAGACUCGGCCCAGACUCCUACGGUAGGCAACAGUGGGGAAUUUUAGACACUGGGGGAAACCCUGAUCCAGCCAUACCGCGUGUAUGAGAAGGCCUGCGGGUUGUAAAGUACUUUAGGCAGAGAAGCGGUAUCAGCAGAAUAGGAACCGGCGAACUACGUGCCAGCAGCCGCGGUAAUAC
RNAcentral lists this ribosomal RNA (405 nucleotides) under uncultured bacterium. RNAcentral describes it as "partial 16S ribosomal RNA". It matches the Rfam family "Bacterial small subunit ribosomal RNA", at positions 30 to 526 of the family's 1533-position model. The record is from RNAcentral.